RNAcentral lists this transfer RNA (73 nucleotides) under Candidatus Pacearchaeota archaeon. Its description in RNAcentral is "tRNA-His". It matches the Rfam family "tRNA". From Rfam's summary of the family: Transfer RNA (tRNA) molecules are approximately 80 nucleotides in length. Their secondary structure includes four short double-helical elements and three loops (D, anti-codon, and T loops). Further hydrogen bonds mediate the characteristic L-shaped molecular structure. tRNAs have two regions of fundamental functional importance: the anti-codon, which is responsible for specific mRNA codon recognition, and the 3' end, to which the tRNAs corresponding amino acid is attached (by aminoacyl-tRNA synthetases). tRNAs cope with the degeneracy of the genetic code in two manners: having more than one tRNA (with a specific anti-codon) for a particular amino acid; and 'wobble' base-pairing, i.e. permitting non-standard base-pairing at the 3rd anti-codon position. Lineage: Archaea; Nanobdellati. The record is from RNAcentral.
GUCUCGGUAGCUCAGUUGGCAGAGCACAUGGCUGUGGACCAUGGGGUCGGAGGUUCGAGUCCUCCCCGAGACG